CCUACGGGGGGCAGCAGUGGGGAAUAUUGCACAAUGGGGGAAACCCUGAUGCAGCAACGCCGCGAGAGUGAAGAAGUAUUUCGGUAUGUAAAGCUCUAUCAGCAGGGAAGAAGAAAGACGGUACCUGACUAAGAAGCCCCGGCUAACUACGUGCCAGCAGCCGCGGUAAUACGUAGGGGGCAAGCGUUAUCCGGAUUUACUGGGUGUAAAGGGAGCGUAGACGGCUGUGCAAGUCUGAAGUGAAAGCCCAUGGCUCAACCGCGGAACUGCUUUGGAAACGGUAUAGCUUGGGUACUGGAGAGGCAGGCGGAAUUCCUAGUGUAGCGGUGAAGUGCGUAGAUAUUAGGAGGAACACCAGUGGCGAAGGCGGCCUGCUGGACAGAAACUGACGUUGAGGCUCGAAAGCGUGGGGAGCAAACAGGAUUAGAUACCCCAGUAGUC
Molecule: ribosomal RNA, 441 nt
Filed under: uncultured bacterium
Lineage: Bacteria
Description: partial 16S ribosomal RNA
Rfam family: Bacterial small subunit ribosomal RNA
Source: RNAcentral